This 465-nucleotide ribosomal RNA is filed under the name Valenciennea longipinnis (long-finned goby). RNAcentral's name for it is "partial 12S ribosomal RNA". It matches the Rfam family "Bacterial small subunit ribosomal RNA", at positions 868 to 1528 of the family's 1533-position model. The record is from RNAcentral. Lineage: Eukaryota; Metazoa; Chordata; Actinopteri; Gobiiformes; Gobiidae.
UUCGCCAGGGGACAACGAGCCCCAGCUUAAAACCCAAAGGACUUGGCGGUGCUUUAGACCCCCCUAGAGGAGCCUGUUCUAGAACCGAUAAUCCCCGUUCAACCUCACCCUCUCUUGUCUUUCCCGCCUAUAUACCGCCGUCGUCAGCUUACCCUGUGAAGGUCAAACAGUAAGCAAAAUUGGCACAGCCCAAAACGUCAGGUCGAGGUGUAGCGAACGAGAGGGGAAGAAAUGGGCUACAUUUACUGAACCAGUAUACACGGACAUUGUACGAAAAAGCAUUUAAAGGAGGAUUUAGCAGUAAGGGGAGAGUAGAGCGCCCCCCUGAAAACGGCCCUGAAGCGCGUACACACCGCCCGUCACUCUCCCCGAAAGCCUAUUUUACUUUAACUAAAAAGCUAGCCAAGAAAAGGGGAGGCAAGUCGUAACAUGGUAAGUGUACCGGAAGGUGCACUUGGAAAAACC